CCUACGGGGGGCUGCAGUGGGGAAUCUUGGACAAUGGGGGCAACCCUGAUCCAGCCAUUCCGCGUGAGUGAAGAAGGCCUUCGGGUUGUAAAGCUCUUUUGUUCGGGAAGAAACGGUUUCACCUAAUACGUGAGACUACUGACGGUACCGGAAGAAUAAGGACCGGCUAACUACGUGCCAGCAGCCGCGGUAAUACGUAGGGUCCAAGCGGUAAUCGGAAUUACUGGGCGUAAAGCGUGAGCAGGCGGUUGAAAUCCCCGGGCUUAACCUGGGAAUGGCAUUUGGGACUGCACGGCUAGAGUACGGCAGAGGGGACUAGAAUUCCUGGUGUAGCAGUGAAAUGCGUAGAUAUCAGGAGGAAUACCGAUGGCGAAGGCAGGUCCCUGGGUCGAUACUGACGCUCAUGCACGAAAGCGUGGGGAGCAAACAGGAUUAGAUACCCCAGUAGUC
Molecule: ribosomal RNA, 450 nt
Filed under: uncultured bacterium
Lineage: Bacteria
Description: partial 16S ribosomal RNA
Rfam family: Bacterial small subunit ribosomal RNA
Source: RNAcentral